This 3807-nucleotide ribosomal RNA is filed under the name Triticum aestivum (bread wheat). RNAcentral describes it as "partial small subunit ribosomal RNA". The record is from RNAcentral. Lineage: Eukaryota; Viridiplantae; Streptophyta; Magnoliopsida; Poales; Poaceae.
CCUCCCCCUUUUUUGUAGGAGCAGCACACCGAAGGGCCACUCAAACCAAGGACCAAGCAAUAGACGGGUGGCAGAGGGUGGAGGCAGGUGGCGGUCGGAGGUAAAGGUGCCGGUCGCGGUGGUCCACUCAAGUGCCCCUGACUUCCGGACGUGACGUUAGAGGGUCGGGUCAUAAGUAGAGCAGGAGACUUUUAAGGUCGACAACGGACGAAGACGGCGGCGUCCUUUUGCCCCGCGCCCGCCCGUGGUACCUCGAGACGACGAGCCCGCAGCAUUCGCCGCCGCCGCCGCCGCACCGGCCACGUCCCUGUGGAGCCCGGGUCUUCAGGUCCUGAAGAGGGCCCAAGGACUGGCGGGGCGGGUCCUGCGCCGGCUCGUCGGCGCGGCCGACGGCGGUCGAGCGCCGCGGCGGGACGCCGCUUGCGCACCCGGCCGGGCCGCUGCGCCCCUUGCAGCAGGUGUACGAGUCCAGUCGGCGGCGGCGGCUGGGCCGCCUCCGGGAGCUCGACAAGUCCAGGCACCGCGCCGUCGGGUCCCAGCGGGUGUGGUGCCUCAGCACGUUGAUGUACGAGCUCGACUACGCGCGCGUGCCGGCCCAGCCCCUGCACCGGGUCCACAAGCUGGAUUACGUCUCCGUCUAGCAGUUCCGGUUACACCCGUGGAAGACGUGGCAGAAGCCCCGCCAGCCGCAGCUUCCCCCGGAGGCCUCGCGCGGCCACCGGGACGGCCACUACUUCCUCCGGCCCUAACGGAACUUGCGGAUGUGGAUGUUACCGGAGUAGAUAAAGGAGCAGUUCAGACCGAAGCUGUCCCUCCGGUACCUCCACAUGUUCCGGUACCGCCGCCUACCACAGCACGGCUGACAGUCCUGGAUGAGGCACGACUACGACCGCAAGCCCUUCUCCUCCCUGCGACUCUGACAACAACCCGACAACCCACUCUACCUCCGAGCACCUCACUCCGGUUUACACAUGUCGAUGUGGUAGACGUAGGCCCAAGAACCUGUUCGACCCUCUAAUCUCCUCCGCAUGUCUUAAGAAGCGUUUUACCUCCUUCUCCCCACGUUCGGGCUACAGCAGUGGUUAUGACAGGAAUAUGUCUAAGAGACACUACGGCCAGCUGAACGACUACGGUUCCUACAUAAAACCUUCUACUUUCGCUCACUAGUUUUCGGACUAUCUCACUGGAUGUAAUGAGAGGAUCUGUUCACGCCGCUGUUAUCACUGAGCGCCAGUCAUUCACUUUAUACCUUACGUAACUUUCGACUGCCCAUAUUGCUGUUACAGCAACGAAUAUGACGUCGACAGCUACGUAACACGGUUCAACCCUCCCAGCUACUUCGGAGUCCACAAAAGCUACUCUACUUUGUUUUCCCAUAUCAUGGAGUCGUCAUAAGUAUGUUGAGGAACUAUAGACCUAAAGAAUUUCGACUAUCCAAAUUGGCACGAGAUCUCGACAAGUUGGUAUACUUAUAAGUACCAGGAUGAGGUUUACCUAUGUGUGUACAAGACAAGUAUUUAAUGAUACCUUUUAGACCGCUUAGAGACUUUCGUGAAUUUUCCAUACUCGAAUACUUCUCGUUUCCCUAACAAGGGCUACAACAACGACCAUUACGACAAAACAUACCAGAACGAUUUAGACCCGCCGACCCUUACCGUUUUUCCCAGAAGGUACUUAACUUUCGAUACCCCUAAAGAGGUCUAUUAUAGUGGAUGUGAUACUACUAGUUCACAACGUCGUUCCGUAGGUUACGACUACUCCGGUACUUUUAGAAGAGACUUUACUAGCUUUUGUCUACACGAGGACUACAAGAACGUUACUUAAGAAACUAACUAUACGAGAUGUUCCGUCCGUCCCCUUUACUUCGGACCUUUUAGAAGAUACUUGACUUUCUUUACUUGGAACUUGGGUGACUGACAUGAAUGUUGUGUGAAAACCGUCCUAAUCCUUCUCUUCCAUUUCAGUUCCUCCACUACGUUGACGAACUUCCUUACUUGAGAUUAUCGAAAGGUGGAUUAUAUUAUUGCAUGUUAUGACAAGACCUAACAGAGACGUUUUUACCCCUCCACUUGAUACGUGACCCGUACGAAAUGUCAUACUGCUACUUGCCAACGUACGGACUGGAAAGUAGAAUGUUGUGACACUACGUACCAGAACAAUUUCUCCUGUCUAACCUACUCCGUAAGACCUACAAAACAGUCUACUUUUUCCAAGAACGAGGUCUAAUGCGUUGUCACACAUGAUAGGAGGGAUCAAAACACUCCUCACCUAAUUACUUCCUUCGAGACGUAUGACAAUUUCUUAUAUAAGAAGUUGGACUAAGAUUUCACCUAUCUGGAAGCCAGGUGAGUGACUACCUUCCCUAUGACUUCUCCCUACCAUGUCUCUUCAGUUAACUCAAACGGCUUUUGUAUCGUAGUUCACCGUAAGAAUACCUACUAAACAAAAACACGGGUUAUUAAUCCGUGGAAACGUUCUUAUUCCUCCGAGACCGUCGUGUACUUGAACGGUUCUUCAAACUCUUAAAACCACAAAACGAUUUUUAACCCAGUAUAUUACGAGAAUAAACGCCGGAACACCUACUUCUGGACUAACUAUAGCGACUUCUCAACAAGAGACUCUACUUCUCUGAGCCUACACUGGGACUACUCAAAUGAAUGGUAAACUAAGAGCUACGGUACCCCUUCAGCUACGCCUAGCUCCUAUACGACUUUCAGGUUCUUCUCUACGUAUUGUUCCCUAUGUUUAGUUGAAUACAAUGGAUAUUGUGUUAGUAAAGCCCAGAACAUUUUAGUUUUUACAACCUGCUCCGAUAUUUGAAUAUGAUGGUCGACUACUCGCUUCCGAAGAGAGGGUGGGGUACGUGUAUACCAGGAGAAGAACUACCCGACAACUUUCUACCUUUACAUCUUCUACGUCUUCAAGAAAAACUACUCUACCACCUCACACCUACGCUUGGGUUGACGCGGUAGAUGUUGUAAGACGAGUUACCUAUAGCUAAUCGUCCACUGUGUCUCUUUCAAACACUCGAGAAACUCUUAUACCACCUCGUCCCCUAUUUGGGUCUAUAUUUUAGUAUAUGUCAACAGUAGCUGUGGGAGACGUGUCUGCCCGCCAACUUACUACCGGACAGAAUGAAGUUUGUCGACUGUCUAUACCCUGAACUCGGACUGGAGUAGUGGAUAUUGAACGAGUAUGUGCCAGAUCCAUUUAGACCUUCUGAUCUCCUUCGUGAGCGGGAGAUGCUACUGUACCUCUUCUUUCCUUAGCGGGGCUUGGACAUGUGCAUGUUGAGUGACUAGGAGAUGGACCCGUUUCGCCCCUUCCGGCGCCUUCGGCCGUUUUACAUGCUUCUUGACGACCGCUUUCCGACCUUCGGGUUACAAAAGUGUAUGUUGCGGGAAUAGGCCCCCAUGUCACAAAGACCGUCGGGACUUUUGCGGAAACGCCGGAUGCCAGCCUACUAACAACCUCCCACGGCCGGAUUAAGCUCGUGGAUGUACGUUGAAGGUUUAGUUUACAACAUUGACUGUUCAAUCAAUGACACACUUGACGAAAGACAUAUCAGGACAAGAUAUUAACCCCUUUACUAGUUGGCAUCUAUCACUAGUCGUCACUGCGUAGACUCUCAUGAGGAUCUAGCGUAAGACGUGAUUACAUGAGGGAGGCAAGGAUUUACAUUCAGAAACAUCUCUAAAGUAAUAUUUGACGUAUGUCUACAUAUAUCUACGUAAAAUUCAAAUCUAAGUAAGUAAAACGAGGCAUACAUCAGGUAAAUCACGUUAAAAAUGUUUCUGAAUAUAAAUC